AUUCCGCCUCAGUCACAAUAUUAGCAAGUCCAGUGGCAGAUCCAACUACAGCUCCCACACCUAGACCUGCUGCACCUAACACUGUUGCAGCUGCAACUACUACUGGAGCACUCAUUAUAAAAAGGGUGGUAUUCAGGUCUCUUCUAAAGAACUUUACAAGUGACUUGCUGAAUCCAUCAUCUACAGCUUAUAAAAAUCGAGCUGCAACGAUUAAAGAAGAGCUUACACCUGUUUUCCAGAGUGCAUUCCCUUCUUCAUUUAAGUCCUUGGAAGUGGUGUCAUUCAG
Trematomus bernacchii (emerald rockcod) is the source of this 286-nucleotide long non-coding RNA. RefSeq lists it as uncharacterized. Lineage: Eukaryota; Metazoa; Chordata; Actinopteri; Perciformes; Nototheniidae. The record is from RefSeq and is a predicted model, not a curated record. The transcript is spliced from 3 exons.